UAUGUGAUCGUCUCUCGCAUAUCAAUAAGCGGAGGAAAAGAAACUAACAAGGAUUCCCCUAGUAACGGCGAGUGAAGCGGGAAGAGCUCAAAUUUGAAAUCUUAAAGGGUUUCCCUUUACGAAUUGUAGUUUAAAGAAGUGUUUUCUGUUGAGGUUUUGGUAAAAGUUCUUUGGAAUAGGACAUCAUAGAGGGUGAGAAUCCCGUAUUUGACCUUUACUUUCAACUUUGUGAUACACUUUCAAAGAGUCGGAUUGUUUGGGAAUGCAGUCCAAAAUGGGUGGUAAAUUUCAUCUAAAGCUAAAUAUUGGCGAGAGACCGAUAGCGAACAAGUACCGUGAGGGAAGGAUGAAAAGAACUUUGAAAAGAGAGUUAAACAGUACGUGAAAUUGUCAAAAGGGAAGCGUUUGACACCAGUGAUUGUUUUUCUGAAAAUCAAUUAAAGAACUGUUUAUGCUAAGUUGUUUAGACUUUAUCAGCUAACUGUUUAGUUUUGAGCUUUUCUUUAAUGCACUUUUCAGUUAACAAGUCAACAUCAAUUUCUUUUGCUGUAAAAAAGCUUGAGGAAGGUGGCUUGAGAUUCGUCUUAAGUGUUUAUAGCCUCUUGCCUAUGCAGUCGGAGAGAUUGAGGUCUGCAGCGUAGAUCCUUCGGGGCUAAAUGCAUUUGUGCUAAGUUAUAGCAUUUUAUAGACAACUUGUUGACUAUGAUUUGUCUUGUAGCUUACUCGCUUAUGUUAUUUUACCUACGCUUAGGAUGUUGAGUAGCGACAUACGCAC
RNAcentral lists this ribosomal RNA (775 nucleotides) under uncultured Neocallimastigales. RNAcentral describes it as "partial large subunit ribosomal RNA". It matches the Rfam family "Eukaryotic large subunit ribosomal RNA", at positions 24 to 649 of the family's 3401-position model. Lineage: Eukaryota; Fungi; Neocallimastigomycota; Neocallimastigomycetes; Neocallimastigales. The record is from RNAcentral.